This 444-nucleotide ribosomal RNA is filed under the name uncultured bacterium. RNAcentral describes it as "bacterial SSU rRNA". It matches the Rfam family "Bacterial small subunit ribosomal RNA", at positions 15 to 507 of the family's 1533-position model. The record is from RNAcentral.
GAUCCUGGCUCAGAACGAACGCUGGCGGCAGGCUUAACACAUGCAAGUCGAGCGCCUCGCAAGAGGAGCGGCAGACGGGUGAGUAACGCGUGGGAAUGUACCCUUUGCUACGGAAUAGCUCCGGGAAACUGGAAUUAAUACCGUAUGUGCCCUUCGGGGGAAAGAUUUAUCGGCAAAGGAUCAGCCCGCGUUGGAUUAGCUAGUUGGUGGGGUAAUGGCCUACCAAGGCGACGAUCCAUAGCUGGUCUGAGAGGAUGAUCAGCCACACUGGGACUGAGACACGGCCCAGACUCCUACGGGAGGCAGCAGUGGGGAAUAUUGGACAAUGGGCGCAAGCCUGAUCCAGCCAUGCCGCGUGAGUGAUGAAGGCCCUAGGGUUGUAAAGCUCUUUCACCGGUGAAGAUAAUGACGGUAACCGGAGAAGAAGCCCCGGCUAACUUCGUG